GCCCGGCUAGCUCAGUCGGUAGAGCAUGAGACUCUUAAUCUCAGGGUCGUGGGUCGAGCCACACUUUGGGCG
Non-coding RNA from Danio rerio (zebrafish), 72 nucleotides. The record is from Rfam. Lineage: Eukaryota; Metazoa; Chordata; Actinopteri; Cypriniformes; Danionidae.